GAGCUCGAGCUCCUCGAGAUCAUCGUCAAGGCUGGCCCCGGCGCCAAGCUGAGUCCCGACGACAUCGCCACCCAGCUGCCCACCGAGAACCCACAGGCGGCCGAUAUGGUAGACCGGAUCCUCCGCCUGCUCGCCGCCAACGGCGUCGUCAGUUUCUCUGUGGAGUCCGGCGACGAUGGGCGCCCCUCGUGCAAGUACGGGGCCACGCCUGUCUGCAAGUACCUGACCAAGAACGAGGACGGCGUGUCCAUGGCCGCUUUCUGCUUGCUGAUCCAUGACAAGGUCACCAUGGAGAGCUGGUAGUCGACGGAGCCAACAACGUCUACUCUUACUCGUUACUUCUCGCACUAAAAAGUUAGCCGAAGGAUUAAUCAGCUUAGUGUUUUUGCCUCCACAACGAUCGCAGGUACUACAUGAAGGAUGCGGUGUUGGAGGGCGGCAUCCCAUUCAAGAAGGCCCACGGCAUGACGGCGUUCGAGCACCACGGCGGCGAUCCACGGUUCAACAAGCUGUUCAACGACAGCAUGAGGAACCACUCCACCAUCUUGAUCAAGCAACUGCUGGAGACCUACCGCGGCUUCGACGACGUCAAGGUGCUCGUCGACGUCGGCGGCGGGACCGGCGCCACGCUCCACAUGAUCACCUCCAGGCACCCGCACAUCAAGGGCGUCAACUUCGACCUCCCUCUUGUCAUCGCCAGUGCACCGACCAACCCAGGUUCGCCAUUUAUAUCAGACAUUCGUCACAGUCAUAGUGCCUACCUCUUACAACGAAGCAAAAGAAUUCGUAAACUUGGGAUGCGUUGGCUCCAUGCAGAUGUAGAGCACGUAAGCGGCGACAUGUUUGAGAGCAUUCCGGGUGGAGGAGACGCCAUUUUCAUGAAGGUCAACAUUUAGAUUUUUUCCUUAACUCAUUUAAUGUUUGAGGUUUUGGUUAGGCAGCAUGUCGAACUUAUCAAAAAAAUUUGAAGGUUAUUAAUGAAAGAUACCACUCUUCAAACUACUCGAGACAUAUCAAUCAACCAAAUGAAAAGGGUAAAUCAAGCGGGACAAACAAUCAAAAAGAAUGAAGGAAAAAUAUUUACACUUUAAGAUCGAGGAGAUGGAGUCAAAGAAAAAGCACACAAGACACAAAUAUCGUCCUCCGCUUCCUCAUAGGGUGGAGACGCGGAGUUAUGCAUCUAUUCGCAACAAGUUUGACAUCUCAUUAGUCUUUAUCGACGUAAUUUUGCAGUGGAUUCUUCACGACUGGACUGAUGAGCAGUGCGCGAGAAUACUAAAGAACUGUUGGAAGGCUUUGCCGGAGGAAGGGAAGGUGAUAGUAGUGGAAUACUUGCUUCCCGUGAUUCCGGAGCCCGAUUCCAGAUCGCAAGGUGUUUUUUUCUUGGACAUCGGGAUGAUGAUACACACUGGAGGGAGAGAGAGGACACAGGAAGAGUUUGAGGCAAUGGCGAAGGAAGCAGGGUUUACAGGGUUCAAGGCCACCUACAUAUCUCUCUAUUCUUGGGUUAUGGAGUUCACAAAGUAGAUAAAAGAAAGAUCUAUGUCAUGUGCUGCUGUAGUAGAGUAGAAGAUAUACAUGCCUUAUGUAUUGCUUUCAGCUCCCUGCUGCCAUAGUAAGCUACCACGAGGUCGAGAGACCUCCGAAUGGACUUUGCUACGCUUUGAAAUCAGACUUUGCGACAGUGCUGUAAUAAGAUUCCAAAAGUUAUAUGUUUAUGAAGGUUUUGCUCGUAUUUGUUGGAAAAAGUUCACAUUUCAAACAGAGAUUUGAAUAGGAUUUAUAAUGUGUAUAUACAUUAGAAAUAUUUUUCUUUAUAUAAUUUUUUAAGUUAUUUUUUAAAAAUAUUUAUUUUGAUUGAAAGUUUUUACGUUUGUUAUUUGUUAAAUAAAGUUGCAUACUAAAUCUCUUCCAGACUCGUCUAAUAUAUUAUUUUUGAGAUAUUUAUAAUAAUUCUUGAUAUUUAUCCCUAAAUAUCUCAAUGCCAAUAACAUAAAAUAUUUUAUUCAUAUCAAUCAUCUUAAAAUUCUUGAUGAGAAAUUUUUUAGUCUUGUACAAGAAACUAAGGUCACAAUUUGGAAGUAAAAUAUUAUCUAUAUACAAGAUCAAUAUAAUAAGCUUGCUCCCACUAAUUUUUAUAUAUAAAUAGUGAUCGACAUCAUUUUUUUUAAGAUUCGAAAAAAGUAAUGAUAUCAAGAAACUUUAUAUACCAUUGUUUGUAUUUCUGAUCAUAAAUAUAUUUUAAAAUUUAUAUAUAAAAUUUUUUUCUCUAUGAAUUGUUUAGUUUAAUCCAUAUAAAUCUUCUCAUCGAGAUUCUUAUUCAAAAGUUACUUUUAUAUCCAUAUGAUAUAAUACAAAAUCAGAAUGAAUUAUUAAUAUUAUGAUGAUUCUUAACAAGUUUAUUUAAAAAAUUAUAAAAAUUAUCUCGUUAUGAUCGAUAUAUUCUUUAUGAGUAAAAUUCUUGGUCACAAGUUUAACUUUUAUAUCGUUUGAUAUUACUCAUUGAAUAAUGUUUAUAGAUAACAAAACAACUUGAUGAGUUUCUUAAAAGCUAUUUUGGUGCAUUGAUCGAAACUUUUUUUUAAUAUAUUAUAUUAUUUUUUAUAAUCGUUACAAUGAGGAACUUUUUAAUUCCUAUUUCACAAUAUGAUUUUUUCAAAUGUACUAUAUAAACUAUAUAAUGAUAGGUCUUAUUUUUCUUUGAGAUCUUCUUAGAACUAUCGAUUGUGAUUAUUUUAUAAGAUCAUUAGCGAUUGAUAUCAACAUCAUAUAGGAGUUCAUCAAUAUUAUUCUAUUAUUCACCCACAUCAAUUCUUUUAGUAAUUUAAUAAACAAUAAUCACUUGAAUAUAAAAUGAUAAAAGAGUAUCAACAUGUAUUUUUUCAAUAUCAAGAUUAAAUUUUAAAAUUUUUAUUUUCACUAAUUUGUUAUUUUUUAAGAAUCUUGUAUUACCAAAUUUAAUUAUCAUCGUACUACGAUAAAGUUAAUAAAAUAAAUAUUCCUAUGAUUUUUUUAGAUAAAUAAUAAAAUAUCUAAAUAUAAUCCUUGAAUCUAAUUAUUUUUCAUAUAAAUUGAAGAUCCUUAUCUGUGUAGGAUAAUUAUAAAUAUAUAAAUAUCUUAGUUUUCGACUAGUCCAUAACAAAAAAAUAUAUAAUGAAAUUGACUUAAUAGAAACUUUAUUCAAGAUAUAAUCAUCCUUGGAGUAUCUACUCAUAUUAAUUCGAGUAUAAAAGAAUAACUCAUAAUACUUAUAACCAUAUCCGUAAGAGUAUGAUUUCGUCUUUCAACAAUCUCAUUUUGUUGUGUUACUUUUGAUAAGAUAUACUAAGCACAAAUACCUCGUUAUUCUAAUAAUCUAACAAAAGACAUAAAAUUAUGAUUCAAUUCAUCAAGACGAUAUCAUAAAACUUAUCAUCCUUGUCAGAUCUGAUAAUUUUAAUUUUUAUCUGAUUAUCUUAUCAUAGAUAUAAAUAUAUAUAAUUUAAUAAAAUUAUAAUUUUAUUUUAAUAUUUAAUUAUAGAACCAUUAUAAACUUCGAUACAGUCUUCUCGGACAAGAGGUUGGGCUGCAGUCAUUGGUGGCCGGCAUGUUGCUUAUGAGUUGGGAGACUAAGAAGAGUAAGAGAGGCGGGGUCGGACUUUAUACUAAGCUACAACUUCAAGUAUAAGGUGACGAACAACACACUGAUCAUCUACGCAUUAAUAUGACAUCGAUAUGACAUACGCAACCCGUAGUUAAAAGAAUUGUGUUUCACGGCCAUGACACUGCUAGCGUGAACUAUUUAUUGAUAUGUUUCUCCCUCAUCCGAUGAUGAUGAUGUUUCUCCCUCCUCCGAGCAUCACACCCAUGAAAAGAUGAUACGAAACAAAUGGUUGGAUGGAAAGAAUGUUUACAUUUGGGAUACCGUUAUAUCAUUGUAAGCAUCAGCUGGAACUGCUUAACGAAACCCACCUGCCGGUCAAUUUGAAUUGGUCGUGUCGGCCGAUUGCCACGAGUUAAGUUUCGAGACAAGAUCGAUCAUGUCGUUCGUACAUUUGAUUAACCUUUGGGUUGCCUGCAAAUACGGCACUGUACGCAGCUUGUGGAUCCAGUCGACGUGAACUCACGCGCAUGCCAUGCCAUGCCAUGUCGUUCCCAUAAUGAAAGAAAAUUUGAAUCAUUAUCCAUCCUUUUCUUCUAAUAUAUAUAAUAACGGAUGGACAUAUUUUUUUCUAGAAUUGUAAUAUACUAGUAGGCAUGUGACCAGCGAUGUUUCCAAAAAUAUAAAAAAUAAAAAAUAAAAAAGAGAGCUAAGAGCCGAUGAUUUGAAGGAAACUUAGCACAAGUAUAAAGGAUAUUCGAACGAUAUGAAUUUUAACGAAGAUCUCGAAGGUAAUAUAAAUCUAUCGAAUAGCCUUCAAUCAACCUCAUGAACAUAUUUAUAGUUUAGAAAUUUAUAUGAUGGAUAUGAUGGGUAGAUAUGAUCGAUCAGUAUUAAUGCAUGGAUAUGAUGGAUAGAUAUGAUCGAUAAGUAUUUACUUUUUUUUAAAUAAAAAAUAAAAUAAAGAUAAAAUUGGAACUUAGAACCUUAUAUAAACUAUGGAUCAGAAUAUUUAUAAAUUAAACUAACUAAUAUAUUCAAAAUAUAUCAAUUAAAAUUUUAAAUUCUUAGUCUUUGAUAAAUAUAUUUGAUACAUCAUCACAGUACUAAUAUAAGAUGUACCGAUCAUAUACUUAUUCCAACAUUGCAUAAAGUAGGACUAGUCAGCGUGUCAUUGCGUGAUAGUAUUGCGACCUCGUAGUCAUGACAUGAUCAAUCCUCCUACUUGUAGUAUACAAAUAUUCUUUUGUUUGUUUUCCUUUUCUAUCUUAUGUCGAAACAAAAUAGUCGCCUAAACUACUACACAUAAAAUAUACAUUCAAAAUAUUUCACUUGACAUUUUAAACCCUUACUAUUUAAUAAAUAUAUCAUACGUGUGACUAGUCAGCAUAUCCACGUUUGACUUCAAUGAGCCUUUUGGUCAUCUCCGUGAUAGUCUGGCGAUCUCGUAGUCAUGAUCAAGCAACGUGAGCAAUCCUCCUACUUGUAGUAUACAAGUAUUCCUUUGUUUUGUUUUCUUUUUCUAUCUUCUGUGAAAACAAAAUAGUUGCCUAAACUGCUACACAUAAAGUAUGCAUUGCAAGAAAAAUAUGACACAAUAAAUCUAGGGCUCUUAAUCUUCUCGCCAAUGGCAUGCAUGCAUCAAGACAUUUGAACUUUGCGUACCUCUACGCUAAGAUAUUCAGUGCUUCGACGCAUAUAAAUCUCAUCCCAACGAUUACUCCCUUAUCAAUUUGAUCCGGGUUUAUAGAGCUCCUCCAUUAUCGCCUCCCUCAUCAUCAUCUCUCUUUGUAAGGAUGGGAUUCACCAAGGGAGUGGUGCAGCAGCUGAGCCCCGAGGAGGAGGAGGAGGCACGCUUGCUCGCCAUGAGGCUUGUGACGGGAUCCUGCCUCCCAAUGAUUCUCAAUGUGGCCAUCGAGCUCGAGCUCCUCGAGAUCAUCGUCAAGGCUGGCCCCGGCGCCAAGCUGAGUCCCGACGACAUCGCCACCCAGCUGCCCACCGAGAACCCACAGGCGGCCGAUAUGGUAGACCGGAUCCUCCGCCUGCUCGCCGCCAACGGCGUCGUCAGUUGCUCUGUGGAAUCCGGCGACGAUGGGCGCCCCUCGUGCAAGUACGGGGCCACGCCUGUCUGCAAGUACCUGACCAAGAACGAGGACGGCGUGUCCAUGGCCGCUUUCUGCUUGAUGGUCCACGACAAGGUCACCAUGGAGAGCUGGUAGUCGACGGAGCCAACAACGUCUACUCUUACUCGUUUCUUCUCGCACUAAAAAGUUGGCCGAAGGAUUAAUCAGCUUAUUGGUUUUGCCUCCACAACGAUCGCAG
This 5902-nucleotide long non-coding RNA is filed under the name Musa acuminata (dwarf banana). RNAcentral describes it as "long non-coding RNA (MACU_LNC000727)". The record is from RNAcentral. Lineage: Eukaryota; Viridiplantae; Streptophyta; Magnoliopsida; Zingiberales; Musaceae.